Molecule: ribosomal RNA, 322 nt
Filed under: uncultured Limnofilidae
Lineage: Eukaryota; Cercozoa; Limnofilidae
Also listed under: 1 other name
Description: SSU rRNA
Rfam family: Eukaryotic small subunit ribosomal RNA (bases 112-322)
Source: RNAcentral
GAUUUCUGGCCUGAAACGUUUUGCCGGCCACGGUUUCGUGUGUUAGUGCUUUGCGUUCUGGCCAUCCUUCCAAUCGCUAUUCAGCUUUCUUCAUUGAUUGUUGAGUGGUAUUGGAUCUUUUACUUUGAAAAAAUUAGAGUGUUUCAAGCAGGCUUUAUGCUAUGAAUACAUUAGCAUGGAAUAAUAAUUUAGGACUUCGGUUCUAUUUUGUUGGUUUCUAGGACUGAAGUAAUGAUUGAUAGGGAUAGUUGGGGGUGCUAGUAUUCAGCGGCCAGAGGUGAAAUUCUCGGAUUCGCUGAAGACUAACUUAUGCGAAAGCAUU